GGCUCGGUAGGUUAGAUGGUAAAGUGUUCGUUUAGCAUACAAGAGUCCUGGGUUCAAAUCCCAGCCGAGCAC
This is a non-coding RNA of Aedes aegypti (yellow fever mosquito), 72 nucleotides long. NCBI's taxonomy places the organism in Eukaryota, Metazoa, Arthropoda, Insecta, Diptera, Culicidae. The record is from Rfam.